Molecule: ribosomal RNA, 2777 nt
Filed under: Enterobacter hormaechei
Lineage: Bacteria; Pseudomonadati; Pseudomonadota; Gammaproteobacteria; Enterobacterales; Enterobacteriaceae
Description: partial 23S ribosomal RNA
Rfam family: Bacterial large subunit ribosomal RNA
Source: RNAcentral
CGACACACUAUCGUUAACUGAAUACAUAGGUUAACGAGGCGAACCGGGGGAACUGAAACAUCUAAGUACCCCGAGGAAAAGAAAUCAACCGAGAUUCCCCCAGUAGCGGCGAGCGAACGGGGAGCAGCCCGGAGUCUGAAUCAGCUUGUGUGUUAGUGGAACGGUCUGGAAAGUCCGACGGUACAGGGUGAUAGUCCCGUACACGAAAACACACUUGCUGUGAACUCGAAGAGUAGGGCGGGACACGUGGUAUCCUGUCUGAAUAUGGGGGGACCAUCCUCCAAGGCUAAAUACUCCUGACUGACCGAUAGUGAACCAGUACCGUGAGGGAAAGGCGAAAAGAACCCCGGCGAGGGGAGUGAAAAAGAACCUGAAACCGUGUACGUACAAGCAGUGGGAGCACCUUCGGGUGUGACUGCGUACCUUUUGUAUAAUGGGUCAGCGACUUAUAUUCUGUAGCAAGGUUAACCGUAUAGGGGAGCCGAAGGGAAACCGAGUCUUAACUGGGCGUUAAGUUGCAGGGUAUAGACCCGAAACCCGGUGAUCUAGCCAUGGGCAGGUUGAAGGUUGGGUAACACUAACUGGAGGACCGAACCGACUAAUGUUGAAAAAUUAGCGGAUGACCUGUGGCUGGGGGUGAAAGGCCAAUCAAACCGGGAGAUAGCUGGUUCUCCCCGAAAGCUAUUUAGGUAGCGCCUCGUGAACUCAUCUUCGGGGGUAGAGCACUGUUUCGGCUAGGGGGCCAUCCCGGCUUACCAACCCGAUGCAAACUACGAAUACCGAAGAAUGUUAUCACGGGAGACACACGGCGGGUGCUAACGUCCGUCGUGAAGAGGGAAACAACCCAGACCGCCAGCUAAGGUCCCAAAGUCAUGGUUAAGUGGGAAACGAUGUGGGAAGGCACAGACAGCCAGGAUGUUGGCUUAGAAGCAGCCAUCAUUUAAAGAAAGCGUAAUAGCUCACUGGUCGAGUCGGCCUGCGCGGAAGAUGUAACGGGGCUAAACCAUGCACCGAAGCUGCGGCAGCGACACUAUGUGUUGUUGGGUAGGGGAGCGUUCUGUAAGCCGUUGAAGGUGUGCUGUGAGGCAUGCUGGAGGUAUCAGAAGUGCGAAUGCUGACAUAAGUAACGAUAAAGCGGGUGAAAAGCCCGCUCGCCGGAAGACCAAGGGUUCCUGUCCAACGUUAAUCGGGGCAGGGUGAGUCGACCCCUAAGGCGAGGCCGAAAGGCGUAGUCGAUGGGAAACAGGUUAAUAUUCCUGUACUUGGUGUUACUGCGAAGGGGGGACGGAGAAGGCUAUGUCAGCCGGGCGACGGUUGUCCCGGUUUAAGCAUGUAGGCGGAGGUUCCAGGUAAAUCCGGUACCUUUUAACGCUGAGGUGUGAUGACGAGGCACUACGGUGCUGAAGUGAUAAAUGCCCUGCUUCCAGGAAAAGCCUCUAAGCAUCAGGUAACACGAAAUCGUACCCCAAACCGACACAGGUGGUCAGGUAGAGAAUACCAAGGCGCUUGAGAGAACUCGGGUGAAGGAACUAGGCAAAAUGGUGCCGUAACUUCGGGAGAAGGCACGCUGAUAUGUAGGUGAAGCCCCUGCGGGCGGAGCUGAAAUCAGUCGAAGAUACCAGCUGGCUGCAACUGUUUAUUAAAAACACAGCACUGUGCAAACACGAAAGUGGACGUAUACGGUGUGACGCCUGCCCGGUGCCGGAAGGUUAAUUGAUGGGGUUAGCGGCAACGCGAAGCUCUUGAUCGAAGCCCCGGUAAACGGCGGCCGUAACUAUAACGGUCCUAAGGUAGCGAAAUUCCUUGUCGGGUAAGUUCCGACCUGCACGAAUGGCGUAAUGAUGGCCAGGCUGUCUCCACCCGAGACUCAGUGAAAUUGAACUCGCUGUGAAGAUGCAGUGUACCCGCGGCAAGACGGAAAGACCCCGUGAACCUUUACUAUAGCUUGACACUGAACACUGGUCCUUGAUGUGUAGGAUAGGUGGGAGGCUUUGAAGCGUGGACGCCAGUCUGCGUGGAGCCAUCCUUGAAAUACCACCCUUUAAUGGCUGGUGUUCUAACGUAGACCCGUGAUCCGGGUUGCGGACAGUGUCUGGUGGGUAGUUUGACUGGGGCGGUCUCCUCCCAAAGAGUAACGGAGGAGCACGAAGGUUGGCUAAUCCUGGUCGGACAUCAGGAGGUUAGUGCAAUGGCAUAAGCCAGCUUGACUGCGAGCGUGACGGCGCGAGCAGGUGCGAAAGCAGGUCAUAGUGAUCCGGUGGUUCUGAAUGGAAGGGCCAUCGCUCAACGGAUAAAAGGUACUCCGGGGAUAACAGGCUGAUACCGCCCAAGAGUUCAUAUCGACGGCGGUGUUUGGCACCUCGAUGUCGGCUCAUCACAUCCUGGGGCUGAAGUAGGUCCCAAGGGUAUGGCUGUUCGCCAUUUAAAGUGGUACGCGAGCUGGGUUUAGAACGUCGUGAGACAGUUCGGUCCCUAUCUGCCGUGGGCGCUGGAGAAUUGAGGGGGGCUGCUCCUAGUACGAGAGGACCGGAGUGGACGCAUCACUGGUGUUCGGGUUGUCAUGCCAAUGGCACUGCCCGGUAGCUAAAUGCGGAAGAGAUAAGUGCUGAAAGCAUCUAAGCACGAAACUUGCCCCGAGAUGAGUUCUCCCUGAGACUUUAAGUCUCCUGAAGGAACGUUGAAGACGACGACGUUGAUAGGUCGGGUGUGUAAGCGCAGCGAUGCGUUGAGCUAACCGAUACUAAUGAACCGUGAGGCUUAACCUUACAACGCCGAAG